AUGUUAGCAAUUGCCGCAUACUAUGAUUAUGAGAUAUGGCAAAUGGACGUCAAAACGGCAUUCCUUAACGGGCAUCUUAAGGAAGAACUGUAUAUGAUGCAGCCGGAAGGUUUUGUCGAUCCUCGGAACGCUAACAAAGUAUGCAAGCUCCAGCGAUCCAUUUAUGGACUGGUGCAAGCAUCUCGGAGUUGGAACAUUCGCUUUGAUGAGAUGAACAAAGCGUUUGGGUUUAUGCAGACUUAUGGAGAAGCCUGCGUUUACAAGAAAGUGAGUGGGAGCUCUGUAGCAUUUCUCAUAUUAUAUGUAGAUGACAUACUCUUGAUGGGAAAUAAUAUAGAAUUUCUAGACAGCAUUAAGGCCUACUUGAAUAAGUGUUUUUCAAUGAAGGACCUUGGAGAAGCUGCUUAUAUAUUAGGCAUCAAGAUCUAUAGAGAUAGAUCGAGACGCCUCAUAGGUCUUUCACAAAGCACAUACCUUGAUAAGAUUUUGAAGAGGUUCAAAAUGGAUCAGUCCAAGAAGGGGUUCUUGCCUAUGUUACAAGGUGUGAGAUUGAGCUCGGCUCAGUCACCGACCACGGCAAAAGAUAAAGAAGAGAUGAGUGUCAUCCCCUAUGCUUCAGCCAUAGGAUCUAUUAUGUAUGCCAUGCUGUGUACCAGACCCGAUGUAAACCUUGCCGUAAGUUUGGUAGCAAGAUACCAAAGUAAUCCCAGCAAGGAACACUGGACAGCGGUCAAGAAUAUCCUGAAGUACCUGAAAAGGACGAAGGACAUGUUUCUCGUUUAUGGAGGAGACGAAGAGCUCGUCGUAAAGGGUUACGUCGACGCUAGCUUCGACUCAGAUCUGGAUGACUCUAAGUCACAAACCGGAUACGUGUAUAUGUUGAAUGGUGGAGCAGUAAGCUGGUGCAGCUGCAAGCAGAGCGUCAUGGCGGGAUCUACGUGUGAAGCGGAGUACAUGGCAGCCUCGGAGGCAGCGCAUGAAGCGAUUUGGGUGAAGGAGUUCAUCACCGACCUAGGAGUCAUACCCAAUGCGUCGGGGCCGAUCAAACUCUUCUGUGACAACACUGGAGCUAUUGCCCUCGCCAAGGAGCCCAGGUUUCACAAGAAGACCAGGCACAUCAAGCGUCGUUUCAACUCCAUCCGUAAAAAUGUUCAAGAUGGAGACAUAGAGAUUUGCAAAGUGCACACGGAUCUGAAUGUCGCAGAUCCGCUGACUAAACCUCUCUCGCGUGCAAAACAUGAUCAACACCAGAACUCUAUGGGUGUUCGAUUCAUCACAAUGUAA
This 1284-nucleotide ribosomal RNA is filed under the name Triticum aestivum (bread wheat). RNAcentral's name for it is "partial small subunit ribosomal RNA". The record is from RNAcentral. Lineage: Eukaryota; Viridiplantae; Streptophyta; Magnoliopsida; Poales; Poaceae.